GUUGAAUCAGCUGCCAGCAGCCAGUGCUUUCAUCAGUUAUGCCUGCCUCCAUAAACUCCCAGAAGGCUGGGAGAUUCGGGGAGGGAGAGCCUAGGGAGAGGGCCUGGAAGCUCCGCGCCCUUUCCCGGUUUCUUGCGCUGAGCGUCUCUUCCACCUGGCUGUCUGGAGUUAAAUCCCUGUAUCAGAAACCAGUGAUCUCCUGCAAACCUGAAAAUUUCCCCAAAGGCCUCUGGGAGUGAGCACUCUGGGAAGAUUCAAAUCUUGAAGGUUACAGAAGGCACAAGAAAAACAAUACAGAACUUCAAUCAGCAUUCCAUGAUGAAAGCAAAGGUCUGAGCCUUACAUGAAGAGAAAGCAGGUAAAUUUACAUUUAUAUAUAUUUAAAUGGAUUCAUGUGUUUACUCUUACAUGUAUCUGUACAAAGAAUACUUUUCAGGUAGUGCCAUUUUUUCAUUCUUUUCCCCAGUAACUACCAAGCAUCAGUGCUGUCAGAUUGGG
Molecule: long non-coding RNA, 498 nt
Organism: Manis pentadactyla (Chinese pangolin)
Lineage: Eukaryota; Metazoa; Chordata; Mammalia; Pholidota; Manidae
Exons: 3
Source: RefSeq, a predicted model, not a curated record